GCUUCCUCAACGUUAUUGAAUCCACAGGUUCUGAAUACAGACCAGGCGACUUCCGGUUACCAUCGUUGGCUGUGUCGUCGCCGAGAGUGAGAUAUUGGGAUCUACUGAUAUUGCUUUCACUGCUUCUCGAACACGAGAUUGAUUGGAAUUGAUCUUGCUGCUACUGCGUGAUGAGGAGUGAUUAACGUUGUUAUCAUCAUCGUCCAUAGGUGUGAGAACAGAUGGAAUUAAGUCGGGCUUAAAUGUAGACAAUUUUGGGGUAUGUGAACGUUCAUGGGGUUGUUGCUGCUGCUGUGGACUCCAUAAGUCCUCGUAAUCGCUCUCCUUGUCGCGAACAACCGUCUUGGUCUAACAAAAAGAAAAGAAAAGGUUCAUAAAUAAAUAAGUAAGCAAUGAAGCUUCUCUUGAAUAAACAAUGGGCACGCCACUGUGGAGUGUGUACACGUUUAUCUACAAGUGCAGCCAUGUGAGUGGGUGGCAAAAUUAUAAAUUAUGAUGAUAAUAUUCACGUCUCACAGUGUCAAGUACAAACAAAUAGCAAGAGUCAUCUUUAUAUUCCCGUUAAAAUAGAUAUAUUAAGACAGCAGACGAUAUAUGUAAGCUCCUAUGACCCGAUACACAUUGCAUGCAUACAUUUACAAUACAAUAUACACCAGGAUAUGACCAAACUUAGAAAGUAGCAACUAUUACUUAUGUAAGCCACAAGGGAUUAAUAAAUACUUUCACGCACUGUGUCACGUACAGUGCAUUCGUUAUUCCCGAAAGAGUAAAGUAAAAUUAAUGAAAUGAAUCCACAGAAGUAUUAUACCACGAGGUAAAGACGCAAAGAAAGGAAAUUCAGAUCUAAUGUAGUAAGUACAGUACGAUCCUCUAUCAAAAUGUAGACGAUACAUUUAUGCAUGCUUUUUAAGAGAAAGUGAAAGAAAAAUCCAUGCUUUUUUGGCUGAAUAACACAGUCAAGAACAACAUGUAUUUUUUGUGUCACAACAAGAUCCUGAAGAGAAAGAGAAAAAAAUCAAAAGAAGGUGAGUAAUGAAACAGUAAUAAGAAUAUGGGAGGAUAUAUGAGAAGUAAAUACAAGACGCAAAAGGGAACAAACAAGUCAAAGUAAAGAAGUCUCAUCUUACUCCUUUGAAGAUAUCCAAAGCCAAAAUCUCCGUGUCUUUGUAAUGGAUAGAUUCGGCUUUGUUUCCUCCGCCAGAGUUUCUUUUCUUCUUCUUUCUCCCUGUUCGCCCACUUCUAUCGCUGGUGGUGGACUGGAUAUCUGCAGAGGGGGUGGACUGCAAGGAGGAUGGUGGCGAAAGGGGAGACAGUAAGG
Molecule: long non-coding RNA, 1318 nt
Organism: Folsomia candida
Lineage: Eukaryota; Metazoa; Arthropoda; Collembola; Entomobryomorpha; Isotomidae
Exons: 2
Source: RefSeq, a predicted model, not a curated record